CAGGAGGCGGAGGCAGCGGCGGAAGCAGGCCUAGAGCGGUGCGCGCGCGGCGCCCACGAGGCCCAAGGGAGAGGUAGUUCUUCCGGCCCGCCCAGCUCGCUCGCCUCCACGAAGAGCCCCGAGCUGGAAACUACCACUCCCGGCGUGCCACGGUAGAGCUCGUGGUCGGUUCACAAUUUCGCCCCACGCUUCCUAGCGCCGUCUCCCUCCGCGAGGGCCGCCGUGAAGCCUGAUGGGAGGAGAGUCGUCCUCUGGCUGCCGCUGCUGUGGGCAGGCCUGGGCCGCGGGGCGGAGGGACCACAACUCCCAGGGGGCGCCUCGGCCAGGGACAGACAUGAUUGGGUCUGCUGCGUGCUCGGAGGAAGGAGGGGUGUCAGUCGCGGGCAGAGGCGCUCUUCUCACCCCCGGACUUCGAGGCCGCAGUCCGGGGCCUCCACGGCCCCUGCCCCCCUCCCCGCCCCCAGUCUGUCCUGGGUGGUGCGGAGCAUAAUGAUGCUUAACGGGAGGGGGCCUCCGAAGGCCCUGAGGUCCAGGUUCCAAAAUUACCCAGUUGCACCUGGGGUGUGUGUGUGUGUGUGUGUGUGGUGUCAGGAUCCCCCCCCCCAAAAAAAACCAGGGCCGCCGUGUUUAAAUAAGUUUGUUUAACUUAUUUAAACAGAACAAAAUAAGUUUAAAUAAAAGAGUUGGAGGAGGGAGUUGAAGGGGAUGCUCAUCAGAUUAGUAGACUGCAGGAAGUGGGGUGGGCUGGCAAACACUUCAGGAGACAAGAUCCAGCUCCAGUCUCAUCUGGACAGGUUCAAAUAUUGGGCAGAGAAACAAAGUUCCACAGAGACAAGUGGGAUGACCUACACCAGGGCUGUCUCAUCAGAGAGGGAGCCCGCUUGUCCUCUGUUGCUGCUGAGAGCAAAACUAGAAGCCAAGAGUGGACAUUGCAAGGGAGCAGGUCCAGGUGAGACAUGCGGAAGAGUCUCCUGACGGUGACAGUCGAACAGCUUGCCUCAUGCAGUGGCCGGCUCUCCUUCUCUGGAGGUUUCCAAGCAGAGGCCGGAGAAGCAUCCGUCAGGGUGGCUGUAGCAGGUUCCCCGCGCUGAACAGAGGGUUGGGCUAGAAGACCUAUUCCAGCCCCAUUGUUUCAAACUGCACUGAGAACCUUUUUGUUGUUGAAAAGCAGUGUGUGUGUGUUUGUGUGUGAAUAUAGAUAAUAAAACUCUGGUUAUGUCAAACUGAAAUCUAAAUAUAACUGAAGUGAUACCUAGUUUUAAUCUUAAUCUGGUUUAAAUGUUGUUGUUUUUUAAUUUUAAUUAUUAUCUGUGUUUGCUUUUCAUGUAAACUGCCCUGAAGCCAGAAUGUAACCCGCGCUCAGCUUUUCGGAAAUUAUUCCACUGAGUCUAUUUGCUAGCAAUAAAUUCUGCUUUUUCUCAACGA
This is a long non-coding RNA of Hemicordylus capensis (graceful crag lizard), 1425 nucleotides long. RefSeq lists it as uncharacterized. The record is from RefSeq and is a predicted model, not a curated record. The transcript is spliced from 2 exons. Lineage: Eukaryota; Metazoa; Chordata; Lepidosauria; Squamata; Cordylidae.